Molecule: ribosomal RNA, 403 nt
Filed under: Fusobacteriota bacterium
Lineage: Bacteria; Fusobacteriati; Fusobacteriota
Description: Fusobacteria bacterium partial 16S ribosomal RNA
Rfam family: Bacterial small subunit ribosomal RNA
Source: RNAcentral
UGGGGAAUAUUGCACAAUGGAGGGAACUCUGAUGCAGCGACGCCGCGUGAACGAAGAAGGCUUUCGAGUCGUAAAGUUCUUUUAUAUGGGAAGAUAAUGACGGUACCAUAAGAAAAAGCCCCGGCUAACUACGUGCCAGCAGCCGCGGUAAUACGUAGCGGGCUAGCGUUUUCCGGAAUCACUGGGCGUAAAGGGUUCGCAGGCGGAAAUGCAAGUCAGGUGUAAAAGGCAGUAGCUUAACUACUGUAAGCAUUUGAAACUGCAUAUCUUGAGAAGAGUAGAGGUAAGUGGAAUUUUUAGUGUAGCGGUGAAAUGCUUAGAUAUUAACAAGAAUACCGGUGGCGAAGGCGACUUACUGGGCUCAUUCUGACGCUGAGGAACGAAAGCGUGGGUAGCAAACAGG